Non-coding RNA from Phoenix dactylifera (date palm), 1117 nucleotides. NCBI's taxonomy places the organism in Eukaryota, Viridiplantae, Streptophyta, Magnoliopsida, Arecales, Arecaceae. The record is from RefSeq and is a predicted model, not a curated record.
GGAAAAAAGGGUUAGGGCAACAAACCCUAACCCUUUCAUCCCCAGCCGCCAUCAUUCCCCCCUCCUUCCUCCUCGAUCAUCUCCCCCCAAAUCCCCCACCGAGCUUCGGAUCCCCCUCCCCCUCCGGAUCCCCCUCCCCUUUCGAGCUUCGAGGACGACCCCGCGCCGUCGAGAAAGGUGUUCUACCCCUCCGAGCUGAGGAUACGGCGGUGGCGGCGGGCGGGAUGUGGUUCGACGAGAACAUACCCUUGGAGGAGGUGUUUGAUAAUCUGAGAUGCACGCGGGAGGGCAUGUGUUCUUUCCGUCACCACCUCAACUGACAUAGAUUUGAGAGCAAGUUUCUAAAAUUCUUGGGGUUCAUGUGGAAUCCGCUGUCGUGGGUGAUGGAGGCGGCGGCCAUCGAGGAAGCCCAGGGGAAGCCCCCAAACUGGCCGUGGCAGCCCAGGUUGCCCUGCUUCUUGAUUUCGUGGGGAUUAUUACCCUGCUUCUAAUCAACUGGACGAUCAGCUUCAUCGAGGAGAACAACGCUGGAAACGCCGCGGCAGCCUAGGUUACUGUGCUCUCCAUUCCCUGGACAUCGGAAGCGAUGAGUUCCUGGGGAAUAUUAUUGUGCUUUGUAUGCUAGUGGCAGAAGAUGUGAUUUUGAUCAAAGACCUGAGCUUUCUAAGGGAAGUGUGGAAUUUGUUGCUCCUACUGAAUAUAUGGUGCGGCCACCAGUAUAUUUUUUCCUUAUUGAUGUGUCAGUAUCUGCAGUUCGGUGUGGGUUGCUUGAGAUUGUGGCAAAGACCAUAAAGUCUUGUCUUGAUGAGCUAUCCGGCUUCCCUAGGACACAGAUUGGCUUCUUAACUUUCGAUAGUGCAUUGCAUUUCCAUAAUUUAAAGGCAUGUAUUAUUACAUUCCAAUGAUCUGAACGCUGAACAUAGUUACUCUGUUGAUCUUAUGGCAAUUUUCUGCUCCUAUAAUUCCACUUUUGCAGUCUUCCUUGACACAGCCUCAAAUGCUGGUGGUAGCAGAUCUGGAGCUGAAUCCUGUCCCUGAUACUUUGUAGAUUGUUUUUUAUGGAGUUUGAUAUGUAUAUGUUUUUUAUAUUUUCAAAGUACAUUGUAAUUCAUAACUU